This 73-nucleotide transfer RNA is filed under the name Dipodomys ordii (Ord's kangaroo rat). It matches the Rfam family "tRNA". From Rfam's summary of the family: Transfer RNA (tRNA) molecules are approximately 80 nucleotides in length. Their secondary structure includes four short double-helical elements and three loops (D, anti-codon, and T loops). Further hydrogen bonds mediate the characteristic L-shaped molecular structure. tRNAs have two regions of fundamental functional importance: the anti-codon, which is responsible for specific mRNA codon recognition, and the 3' end, to which the tRNAs corresponding amino acid is attached (by aminoacyl-tRNA synthetases). tRNAs cope with the degeneracy of the genetic code in two manners: having more than one tRNA (with a specific anti-codon) for a particular amino acid; and 'wobble' base-pairing, i.e. permitting non-standard base-pairing at the 3rd anti-codon position. Lineage: Eukaryota; Metazoa; Chordata; Mammalia; Rodentia; Heteromyidae. The record is from Rfam by way of RNAcentral.
GGAAGCAUGGCUCGACUGGUUGAGCACCUGCUUAGCAAGCAUGAGACCCUGAGUUCAAAUCUCAGUAUCACCA